RNAcentral lists this transfer RNA (71 nucleotides) under Nannocystis pusilla. RNAcentral's name for it is "tRNA-Phe". It matches the Rfam family "tRNA". Rfam says of the family: Transfer RNA (tRNA) molecules are approximately 80 nucleotides in length. Their secondary structure includes four short double-helical elements and three loops (D, anti-codon, and T loops). The record is from RNAcentral. Lineage: Bacteria; Pseudomonadati; Myxococcota; Nannocystales; Nannocystaceae.
AUCUUUGGCGAAACUGGUAAACGCGUCGGUCUGAAGAACCGAAUAUGCGGGUUCGAUUCCUGCAUGAUCCC